Molecule: small RNA, 331 nt
Filed under: Arabidopsis thaliana (thale cress)
Lineage: Eukaryota; Viridiplantae; Streptophyta; Magnoliopsida; Brassicales; Brassicaceae
Description: ATSL036130
Source: RNAcentral
AAAAGUUAUUUAUUGCUUCUAAGCAAUUUUUUUAUUGGUUUUAGCCUCUUAUGAGAGAAAAUGGGUAUAAGUGUUGUCUAAAACACUCCUAAUCCAUCUAUAACUCUUAUAAUUAGUCAAAGGAUUUGGAUUGUGACUUAUUUUGACCAUCGAAACACUAACAAACCUAAUUACUGCUUCUAAACAAUUUUUUGUUGGUUUUAGCUUUUUUUGGGAGAAAAUGGGUAUAAGUGUUUUCUAAACAGUCCUAAUCCAUCUCUAACUCUUAUAAUUAGUCAAAUGCAUUGGAUUGUGACACAUUUUGACCAUAAAAACACUAAAAAAACUGUUU